Long non-coding RNA from Thamnophis elegans (Western terrestrial garter snake), 308 nucleotides. RefSeq lists it as uncharacterized. Lineage: Eukaryota; Metazoa; Chordata; Lepidosauria; Squamata; Natricidae. The record is from RefSeq and is a predicted model, not a curated record. The transcript is spliced from 3 exons.
GACGGAUCUCUACGCCCUUCUCAGCUUCCGGGUUGACUUAACGCCGCAGAUUGUGAUGAAAACGAGCCGUCCGGGGAGGGCAACUGAAUUAUCAUUUUCACUGCUUGACCCUCUAGGAGAAAAGAAGUUCUUGUGCAAUUUUAACAUGGAAGAAGAGCAGAUUAUUGACAAAGAUUCUGUUUCCUUCUUGCUGAUCCAGAAAGAUAGCGAGGCAGGAAAUUCAAAAAUACCAGAACAACAACAUUACUUACCAGUACUUGCAAUUGGCUCUUUCAUUGAUAACAAUUAUAAUAAUUAUUAUUAUUGCA